GACGAACGCUGGCGGCGUGCUUAACACAUGCAAGUCGAACGGAAAGGCCCUGCUUUUGUGGGGUGCUCGAGUGGCGAACGGGUGAGUAACACGUGAGUAACCUGCCCUUGACUUUGGGAUAACUUCAGGAAACUGGGGCUAAUACCGGAUAGGAGCUCCUGCUGCAUGGUGGGGGUUGGAAAGUUUCGGCGGUUGGGGAUGGACUCGCGGCUUAUCAGCUUGUUGGUGGGGUAGUGGCUUACCAAGGCUUUGACGGGUAGCCGGCCUGAGAGGGUGACCGGCCACAUUGGGACUGAGAUACGGCCCAGACUCCUGCGGGAGGCAGCAGUGAGGAAUAUUGCACAAUGGGCGGAAGCCUGAUGCAGCAACGCCGCGUGCGGGAUGACGGCCUUCGGGUUGUAAACCGCUUUCGCCUGUGACGAAGCGUGAGUGACGGUAAUGGGUAAAGAAGCACCGGCUAACUACGUG
Molecule: ribosomal RNA, 468 nt
Filed under: uncultured bacterium
Lineage: Bacteria
Description: partial 16S ribosomal RNA
Rfam family: Bacterial small subunit ribosomal RNA
Source: RNAcentral